This 253-nucleotide ribosomal RNA is filed under the name uncultured bacterium. RNAcentral describes it as "partial 16S ribosomal RNA". It matches the Rfam family "Bacterial small subunit ribosomal RNA", at positions 524 to 776 of the family's 1533-position model. The record is from RNAcentral.
CACGUAGGAGGCGAGCGUUAUGCGGAUUUACUGGGCGUAAAGCGUGCGCAGGCGGUUUUGUAAGACAGGUGUGAAAUUCCCGGGCUUAAACUGGGAACUGCACUUGUGACUGCAAGGCUGGAGUACGGCAGAGGGGGAUGGAAUUCCGCGUGUAGCAGUGAAAUGCGUAGAUAUGCGGAGGAAAACCGAUGGCGAAGGCAGUCCCCUGGGCCUGUACUGACGCUCAUUCACGAAAGCGUGGGGAGCAAACAGG